Molecule: long non-coding RNA, 640 nt
Filed under: Physcomitrium patens
Lineage: Eukaryota; Viridiplantae; Streptophyta; Bryopsida; Funariales; Funariaceae
Description: long non-coding RNA (PPAT_LNC011965)
Source: RNAcentral
UGUGGAAGAAAGAAUAGAAAUUGUAAUAACAAAAUCUUAAUUCUAAUAGAAUACUAACAAUACUCUAAUUGGACUACAAUAAUGCUAAACAAGCUUAAUCAAAUUCAAUGAAAGCUCAAAGAAAUUUCAAAGAAACAAUAAGAAAUCUUAAAAAAAUAUUAGAAUGAUUACAAAUAUCUCUCAAAUAUAUAUCAAUUCAAUCUUAAUUUAAUCCUAAUUAAAAUCCUAUUGGACUUUAUUCAAACUUUAGGCCAAAAUUAAUUAAAUCUUAAACCUUAAAUCAAACUCUAAACAAACCUUAAACCAAACCCCAACCUAAUCUUAAACCAAAUCCUAACCAAACCCUAAACCAAACCCUAAAUCUUAAAUUAAAUCCUAACCAAAUCCUAAUCCAAAUCCUAAAUCCUAAACCAAAUCCUAAUCCAAAUCCUAAAUCCUAAACCAAAUCCUAAUUAAAUCCUAAAUCCUAAAUCAAAUCUUAAUCCAAAUCCUAACAAAUCCUAAAUCCUAAAUCAAAUCCUAACCAAAUCCUAAACCAAAGCCUAAUCUAAAUCCUAAAUCUUGAACCAAACUCUAAUCAAAUCCUAAACCCUAAAUCCUGAACCAAACUCUAAUCAAAUCCUAAACCCUAAAUCAAACC